This 283-nucleotide unclassified non-coding RNA is filed under the name Hevea brasiliensis (rubber tree). The record is from RNAcentral. Lineage: Eukaryota; Viridiplantae; Streptophyta; Magnoliopsida; Malpighiales; Euphorbiaceae.
CUCUCACUUCUAUAAUUGCUUGAACCUUCAAGUAGAGUUGAAGCUGGAUAGUAGCAUUGCAUGGUUUUCGACUUACCAGAGUUUUGCCUUCUGGAAAGCCAGCCCCUCUGUAGUCUUGUAUGUUGAUAUCAAGACAUUUUUUUUCACAUUAUUAUAAAUAGUCCAUUGGUCCUAUGAUGUUUCUUUGUACUCCACAGCCAAAACUCAAAACACUGUUCACAUUUUGAGGUUAAUUCUAUUACUAUUAUUUUCGUUGAAAAAAAAUGUCUUGAUAUCAACAUAC